RNAcentral lists this ribosomal RNA (551 nucleotides) under uncultured Flexibacter sp. RNAcentral's name for it is "bacterial SSU rRNA". It matches the Rfam family "Bacterial small subunit ribosomal RNA", at positions 358 to 909 of the family's 1533-position model. Lineage: Bacteria; Pseudomonadati; Bacteroidota; Cytophagia; Cytophagales; Flexibacteraceae. The record is from RNAcentral.
GGAAUAUUGGUCAAUGGGCGCAAGCCUGAACCAGCCAUGCCGCGUGGAGGAUGAAGGUCCUCUGGAUUGUAAACUUCUUUUAUUUGGGACGAAAAACGGGAAAUCUUUCUCACUUGACGGUACCAGAUGAAUAAGCACCGGCUAACUCCGUGCCAGCAGCCGCGGUAAUACGGAGGGUGCAAGCGUUAUCCGGAUUCACUGGGUUUAAAGGGUGCGUAGGCGGGCUGUUAAGUCAGUGGUGAAAUCUUUGGGCUUAACCCGAAAACUGCCAUUGAUACUAUCAGUCUUGAAUAUUGUGGAGGUCUGCGGAAUAUGUCAUGUAGCGGUGAAAUGCUUAGAUAUGACAUAGAACACCAAUUGCGAAGGCAGCAGGCUACGCACAUAUUGACGCUGAGGCACGAAAGCGUGGGGAUCAAACAGGAUUAGAUACCCUGGUAGUCCACGCCCUAAACGAUGGAUACUCGACAUACGCGAUACACAGUGUGUGUCUGAGCGAAAGCAUUAAGUAUCCCACCUGGGAAGUACGACCGCAAGGUUGAAACUCAAAGGAA